CCUACGGGAGGCAGCAGUGAGGAAUAUUGGACAAUGGGCGCAAGCCUGAUCCAGCCAUGCCGCGUGCAGGAAGACGGUCCUAUGGAUUGUAAACUGCUUUUGUACAGGAAGAAACACUCCCUCGUGAGGGAGCUUGGCGGUACUGUAAGAAUAAGGAUCGGCUAACUCCGUGCCAGCAGCCGCGGUAAUACGGAGGAUCCAAGCGUUAUCCGGAAUCAUUGGGUUUAAAGGGUCCGUAGGCGGUUUAAUAAGUCAGUGGUGAAAUCUGGUCGCUCAACGAUCAAACGGCCAUUGAUACUGUUAGACUUGAAUUAUUAGGAAGUAACUAGAAUAUGUAGUGUAGCGGUGAAAUGCUUAGAUAUUACAUGGAAUACCAAUUGCGAAGGCAGGUUACUACUAAUGGAUUGACGCUGAUGGACGAAAGCGUGGGGAGCGAACAGGAUUAGAUACCCUGGUAGUCCACGCCGUAAACGAUGGAUACUAGCUGUUGGGCGCAAGUUCAGUGGCUAAGCGAAAGUGAUAAGUAUCCCACCUGGGGAGUACGUUCGCAAGAAUGAAACUCAAAUGAAAUUGACGGCUGAGACGAGCGAGGACGACACGAGGGAGGAGG
RNAcentral lists this ribosomal RNA (610 nucleotides) under uncultured bacterium. RNAcentral's name for it is "bacterial SSU rRNA". It matches the Rfam family "Bacterial small subunit ribosomal RNA", at positions 338 to 951 of the family's 1533-position model. The record is from RNAcentral.